Molecule: long non-coding RNA, 3197 nt
Organism: Bos indicus x Bos taurus (hybrid cattle)
Lineage: Eukaryota; Metazoa; Chordata; Mammalia; Artiodactyla; Bovidae
Source: Ensembl
UAGGAUUCCAUGUUCCUUCUAAUUUUUUCAAGCAAAAACCUUCCUGAGCUUUUAAAUUGACAUCUGAGAUUUUACUAAAUCAGUACUUUGGAAAUCCAACCUUGCAAGAUAAAUUUUGACUCCAAGCAUGGCAUCCAGGGCCUUCAUGGUCUCUCUUAGUCUCCCCAGACCAGUUUCAAACAUACUGAAUGUUCCUUGCAGUUCUGUAUCUGCUUGCAUUUCUUAUUCCCCCAACCCCCACUACCCCAUGUCCAAAAUCUUUCCUCAGACAUUUCAAGGGCUCAUUUCCCCACCCUGCCUGUUCAUUUUGUCUACCCUCCAUCACUGUGCGUGUUCCUACCAGUCCUGUGUCUCAGUUGUCUUGUUUUGACUUGUCUGCUAGCCCUCUGGACCUGCUCCUCCCAGGAAUGUAUGAAGUCAGCUCACUCUGCAUCUCCAGGGCCUGUCCGAUGAGUGGCUUCAGUGGACAUAGGAUGGGUGGAGCCAAACAGAAAGGAUUCUCCUGGCUAUGUGUCUGCAUCCUGGGGAAGGGACAACAGAUGGUCCUUCCAGGUGGAAGUUGAGUCAACCUAACAUCUAGCAAAUGUUUAUUCAGCACCCACUCUCUGAAGGGCCUGCAGGAAGCCUAAGGACACAAGUGGAAAAGACUUCACAGGGUUUUCCAUGAAGUAGAAUUAAUUCAUGGGGAAAUGCACAACCCUGAGAAACUAUUUUGGUCCCUGGAAGGUCGGCUGAUUUGAAAGACUAAGAGAAGACCCAACAUCAACAGCAAGUCCAGCUCCCAUAUCAGAUCUCUGUUACAUUUUCUAUGAUCACUUCCUUCUCUCUGAGAGCUGGUUUUCUUUUCUGUAGAGUGAAGAUUAGUCACCAUUGCCUCACAGGUCAGUUUGGAGACAGCCUGAGAUGAAUGAUGGGCAGUGCUUUGGAACCUGUAGGACAUUUCUUGCCUCAUUCUCAUCCUGAGCACUCACAACUGAGCACCUGCCUGCUGGGGCUGGAAGUCUGACCUUCUUCUCCACUGUGUGACCCUGAGCACCUUACUCAACCUCUAUGCACGCAGAUUUCUCAUGAUCCCACUGAGGAUAUUAACAUGACAGACAUCAUCCAAUUAUUGUAAGAAUUAACUAAAUAAUGUAUUAGUUAGUGCCUAACAUAAAUACUCAACAAAUAAUAUUUACUUAUGGAGAAGGAGAUGGCAACCCACUCUAGUAUUCUUGCCUGGAGAAUUUCAUGGACAGAGAAGCCUGGCAGACUACAGUCCAUGGAUCACAAAGAGUCGGACAUGACUGGGUGGCUAACACAAUACUUAAAACAAUCUAAUGUUUAUUAGUUUAAUUUUAAAAGUGACACAGGAAAACAAAUUGUGUCAUGUUCUCUCUGGAAUAUGUUUUGUGAUGACAAAGAUCAUGUGAUAAUACACGUAUGAUUAAAUGGUCAAUCCAAUGUUUACAGAAAAAGAGAGUAUCUGUAGCACCUUUAUUUCCCACAGCAAUUCUCCUCAAGGGUAGCCUCUCUUGCUUCUUACAAUUAAUAGUAAUUAGUAUCUUUUAUCAAGUCUAUAAUUGUGUGUAUAUUAAGACAUAUCAGCAUAUUAAAAAGCAGAGACAUUACUUUGCCAACAAAGGUCCGUCUAGUCAAGGCUAUGGUUUUUCCAGUCAUAAUGUAUGGAUGUGAGAGUUGGACUAUAAAGAAAGCUGAGCACUAAAGAAUUGAUGAUUUUGAACUGUGGUGUUGGAGGAGACUCUUGGGAGUCCCUUGGAGUGCAAGAAGAUCCAACCAGUUCAUCCUAAAGGAGAUCAGUCCUGGGUGUUCAUUGGUAGGACUGAUUUUGAAGCUGAAACUCCAAUACUUUGGCCACCUGAUGCGAAGAGCUGACUCAUUUGAAAAGACCCUGAUGCUGGAAAAGAUUGAGGGCAGGAGGAGAAGGGGACGACAGAGGCUGAGAUGGUUGGAUGGCAUCACCAACUCGAUGAACAUGGGUUUGUAACUCCGGGAGUUGGUGAUGGACAGGGGGACCUGGCGUGCUGUGGUUCAUGGAGUUGCAAAGAGUCAGACACAACUGAGUGAAUGAACUGAACUGAACUGAACUAAGACACAUCAAUAUUUUUAUUUACUACUAAGUAACAUUGAUUUGCAUCCCAAUUUCAAAAAUAUUAUAUAUAGAAAGCACUGUGUGUGGGGUUCUUGACCUGCAGAACCAUCCCUUCCAUCCUCUGAUCCCCAAAUAACAGCAGACUCGAUUACAACCUGCUUCUUGGUCUUGGGACUUAGUUCAAGCUCCUUCCCUUUGGAGGUUCUGAUGGAAACAGAGGAAUACCUUCCUAAGAAAAAUACACACACUUGCCCAACAGCACAAGAAAGAAAUAAUGUGAAAACUGAGACAGACCUCAGAAAUGGGGAUAAGAACUCAAAGAAACAAGAAAAAAUUGCUACAAGGUACUACUUCAUGCAGAAGAUCAAGGUCAAAUUCAAGUCAUGUCAUGUUGAUAGUACCCUUGAAAUAAUGAAAACAACGCUUUCCCUCUGUGGUCUUCCUCCAAAAAUCUCUUAACUGAAGUUUAAUUGUGGGAGAACCCACAGAUAAAUCACAGUUGUGGGACAUUCCAUAAAAUAUCAAUACCUGACUGCAAAGGUACAAACUUUUAGUUGCAAGAUACUUGAAAGCUGCUGUGAGAGUAAAUCUUAAGUGACACUGGGACCAGCCCCCUCCUGGAAUCUCCUUGUGAGCUGGCCUUCAAGUUGUCCCAACUCUAACCUCACCUGUUUAGUCAGCAAUCAGAUGGAAUAGAAAACUGUCACCUGAGAUCUUGAAGUCUGUUGGGAUGCAGAGAGAGCUCAGUGAGGUGAGUGUGUUCAGCUCCUGAGAUACUUUCUCCCUUAGGAGACUGGGGAUGUGGUGUGUUAGUGCUCUCCAUCCCAGGAAAUAUGAUGCCAAUAUUGGUUGUGGGAAGACACAGAGACAAUAACUUUUACAUGUGAUCCAGGAAACUAUGUAAUGGUGGAUACAUGAUGCCAAGUGUGCUCAAAGGGUCCUGGCAUCUUUGGGUUUUGCAAGCUCUAUUGGUGGUUAUGAACAAUUCAUAGGGAUUUUCUAUUUGCAGUGAUUAAGUCAAAUUUUCAUGUUUCCUGUAUUGUCUACACAGGUAUAGAGAUAUUUAGGUUAAUUUCAAUAAAGAUACUAGAGAUUACUCUGAACA